CCGAAAACGGCCCGCUCGCCCGGGAUGGACGAGCGCGCUCCCGCCGUCGCCGCCGCCGCCGUCGCCCCGCCCCCGAAUUCGAUCGGGAAGGGGAGGGGUCUAGCGGCGGCCGCCAUCGGGCCGCACCCAUUGGCUCCCACGAGGCGCCUGCGCGUUGAGCUGUGUGGGCUUCUCGCCUACCGGCAAAUGAGACUACGCGGUGACGUCGAGGCUGCCCUGGCAACCUAGGGACGCUCGUGGAGUUGGUGGACCGCCCUACCUGUGACAGACGCUGCCCAAGGUCGUGACCUGUAUGGCCGAAAAAGCCUAAAAUGAGCCUAGUUUAAGAGCUACCUCAGGUUGGAGGAUACCAAUAAAUAUGCUGUUACUGCUCAAACAAAUCACUUCCUUAUGUUGCCAUCUUCAAUCAAAAUAUAGACUGUUAUAACUUGGAAAACACAGAAAGCAACAACAAAAAGGUCAUCUGUGAGCAUGCCCUGGAGAAAACUACUUUUGAUAUUAAGAUAAGGAUCCAGCACCACACACUGUAUCUUCUUGUCUUCCCAUUCUGCUUUCAAUAUAAACCAGAGACCAUUAGGAAC
Suricata suricatta (meerkat) is the source of this 581-nucleotide long non-coding RNA. RefSeq lists it as uncharacterized. The record is from RefSeq and is a predicted model, not a curated record. NCBI's taxonomy places the organism in Eukaryota, Metazoa, Chordata, Mammalia, Carnivora, Herpestidae. The transcript is spliced from 4 exons.